RNAcentral lists this transfer RNA (78 nucleotides) under Candidatus Bathyarchaeota archaeon. RNAcentral's name for it is "tRNA-Ala". It matches the Rfam family "tRNA". Rfam says of the family: Transfer RNA (tRNA) molecules are approximately 80 nucleotides in length. Their secondary structure includes four short double-helical elements and three loops (D, anti-codon, and T loops). The record is from RNAcentral. RNAcentral also lists the same sequence under 2 other names. Lineage: Archaea; Thermoproteati; Candidatus Bathyarchaeota.
GGGCCGAUAGUUCAGUCUGGUAUGAAUGCCGCCUUCGCAAGGCGGAGGUCGCGGGUUCAAAUCCCGCUCGGUCCACCA